RNAcentral lists this ribosomal RNA (266 nucleotides) under uncultured bacterium. Its description in RNAcentral is "partial 16S ribosomal RNA". It matches the Rfam family "Bacterial small subunit ribosomal RNA", at positions 524 to 789 of the family's 1533-position model. The record is from RNAcentral.
GACGUAGGAUGCAAGCGUUGUCCGGAUUUAUUGGGCGUAAAGAGUUCGUAGGCGGUAAUUCAAGUCUAAUGUGAAAUUAUAGAGCUUAGCUCUAUUCCCGCAUUGGAUACUGUUUUACUUGAGUAAGGUAGGGGUCAGAAGAAUUCCUGGUGUAGCGGUGAAAUGCGUAGAUAUCAGGAGGAACACCGGUGGCGAAAGCGUCUGACUGGGCCUUUACUGACGCUGAGGAACGAAAGCUAGGGGAGCGAAAGGGAUUAGAUACCCCU